UGGGGAAUUUUGGACAAUGGGGGCAACCCUGAUCCAGCAAUGCCGCGUGUGUGAAGAAGGCCUUCGGGUUGUAAAGCACUUUUGUCCGGAAAGAAAACGUCGUGGUUAAUACCCGUGGCGGCUGACGGUACCGGAAGAAUAAGCACCGGCUAACUACGUGCCAGCAGCCGCGGUAAUACGUAGGGUGCAAGCGUUAAUCGGAAUUACUGGGCGUAAAGCGUGCGCAGGCGGUCCGCUAAGACAGAUGUGAAAUCCCCGGGCUUAACCUGGGAACUGCAUUGGUGACUGGCAGGCUAGAGUAUGGCAGAGGGGGGUAGAAUUCCACGUGUAGCAGUGAAAUGCGUAGAGAUGUGGAGGAAUACCGAUGGCGAAGGCAGUCCCCUGGGCCAAUACUGACGCUCAUGCACGAAAGCGUGGGGGAGCAAACAGGAUUAGAUACCCUGGUAGUCCACGCCCAUAAACGAUGUCAACUAGUUGUUGGGGAUUCAUUUCCUUAGUAACGUAGCUAACGCGUGAAGUUGACCGCCUGGGGAGUACGGUCGC
This 543-nucleotide ribosomal RNA is filed under the name uncultured bacterium. Its description in RNAcentral is "partial 16S ribosomal RNA". It matches the Rfam family "Bacterial small subunit ribosomal RNA", at positions 355 to 889 of the family's 1533-position model. The record is from RNAcentral.